RNAcentral lists this non-coding RNA (254 nucleotides) under Enterococcus sp. RNAcentral's name for it is "T-box sequence". It matches the Rfam family "T-box leader". From Rfam's summary of the family: Uncharged tRNA acts as the effector for transcription antitermination of genes in the T-box leader family. T-boxes are found upstream of many aminoacyl-tRNA synthetase genes and some amino acid biosynthetic genes usually in Gram-positive bacteria. The anticodon of a specific tRNA base pairs to a specifier sequence within the T-box motif, and the NCCA acceptor tail of the tRNA base pairs to a conserved bulge in the T-box antiterminator hairpin. The record is from RNAcentral. Lineage: Bacteria; Bacillati; Bacillota; Bacilli; Lactobacillales; Enterococcaceae.
ACAAACACGUUGAUGAAGAAAGUAAGAUUUAGUCAUAUUCCUGACAGAGAGCCCUGUAUGCUGAAAAAGGGUGGAAGAAAAUGAAUCUGAAAAUGGCUUUUGAGUGGGUACUUCGAGAAUUUGUUUUUAGAGGUACACGGCUGUCCCCGUUAUCAUGGAUCCCUAUAUCGCGAAAGCCGUAUGGGAGCAGAGGCAUGCUUCGCAAGAAGUUUGCGCACAAAGGUGGUACCAUGUAAGUUGAUUACAUCCUUAGG